Molecule: transfer RNA, 67 nt
Filed under: Loxodonta africana (African savanna elephant)
Lineage: Eukaryota; Metazoa; Chordata; Mammalia; Proboscidea; Elephantidae
Rfam family: tRNA
About the family: Transfer RNA (tRNA) molecules are approximately 80 nucleotides in length. Their secondary structure includes four short double-helical elements and three loops (D, anti-codon, and T loops).
Source: Rfam by way of RNAcentral
GAUGGUGCAGUUGUUAAACACUCAGCUGCUAACUGAAAGGUUGGUGGUUCGAAUCCACCCGCUGCUC